CCUGCCCUUAGACUGCAGGUUAUCACAUGUACAUCAAUAGGUGGCAGAAAGGAGAGAGGCUAGGUCUACACUCAGUGUUCAGACCUAUGAACAUCUGAAUAAUUAUAUUAAUUUUUAAAA
RNAcentral lists this small nucleolar RNA (120 nucleotides) under Mus caroli (Ryukyu mouse). RNAcentral's name for it is "predicted gene, 25059 (MGP_CAROLIEiJ_G0036741.1)". It matches the Rfam family "Small nucleolar RNA SNORA17". Rfam says of the family: snoRNA ACA 17 belongs to the H/ACA family of snoRNAs and is predicted to guide pseudouridylation of the 28S rRNA at positions U4659 and U4598. The record is from RNAcentral. Lineage: Eukaryota; Metazoa; Chordata; Mammalia; Rodentia; Muridae.